CCGACCAGAGCCGCGGUGCGAUCACAAGGACCGUCCGUUCGGUCUGAUGGAGCCAUAGCCCACCACGUACGUUCUGAACCGUGUCAGGUUUCUCCAUGCUCUUCUCCUGCCCUCGGUCUCCCAUACUUGAUAGGAGGUUGCUUCACAAACGAUCAGAUCGCCGGAAACCUAACCACCACCAAUCGGCCUUGCUUUGGCCGGAAACUCUCUCUUUCUUCUUUCUCUCUCUCUACUGUUUCUGAGUAUUUACUUGGAGUUAUGAUUGAACGACAGAAAAGACCAUAUUUAUAGAAAAUGAAGGGGUAGUCUUGCCCACGAACAGGCAUGCUGGCCAGGGAUGGGCACAAUCGGCCAAGGGUUACACCCUCUCGGCCCAUGCGUCCCUUCGCCAAUACCGCAGGGAUUGGGUCGGACAAGCCCAAAGCCUUACGGACUUAGCCCACCCUUGUCCCAAGCCCAACGGUCCAUGGCCUCAUGGCCGGACCCCAUGCCCCCACCGCCGGACCCGGACCAUCGACCAAAACCCGAACAGUCCGUCCAUCUGAGAUGAGCUGACUUCCAGCUGCUCAGCUGAGUGGCUAGUAGUUCAGCUAGUGGAGCUGGCUUAGUAUGGCGAGCUGGAGUGGGCUAACCUAACUCCUUGAUGGCGAGCUACUUGUUCCAUCCGUCCAGCUACCGUCUACUCGUCCUAGUUGCUUUCGACUUGUAUAAGUUAAGUCUAAGUUUCCUUACUCUUAACCUUCUUUCUGCCAUGGAACACUUGCUUGAUGUCUAAGAUGACUGUACGUUUCUCGUAACCAUGGCGUCCCAAUGUCCUAUUCAGGAUCCGGAUGUGUUCGAGCAAUCGGCUCGUAUCUCCGUUGAGUGCGGGAAUUCCGAAAGAGUUAUCUUUCUGUUAUACAGCCUGCCCCACCCUUGGAAACGGCCAGCCGGAGGUACGAAUUCGGCUCCAGCGGCUGGAAGAGCACCGGCAGUCGCGUGGUGUCCGGUGCAUUCCCAGCGGCCCCUGAAAACCCAGAGGACCGAAUGCCGCUCACGCCCAUUCGUACUCAUAACCGCAUCAGGUCUCCAAGCGGAACAGCCUCUGGUCGAUGGAACAACGUAGGCAAGGGAAGUCAGCAAAAUGGAUCCGUAACUUCGGAAAAAAGAUUGGCUCUGAGGGCUGGGCUCGGGGGUCCCAGUUCCAAACCCGUCGACUGUUGGUGGGGUGCUUGAGCCGCUAACUUGGCGAGAGCGGACGGCGUCGUGUCGGCCGGGGAACGGACUGGGAACGACACUUUCGGGAUCUUUCCACGGGCGUCGAACAGCCAACUCAUAAUUGGUACGGAUAAGGGGAAUCCGUCUGUUUUAUUAAAACAAAUCUAUGACUCUCUUAAGGAAGCCAAAAGCCUCGUCAUCUAAUUAGUGAUGCGCGUGAAUGGAUUAACGAGAUUUCCACUGUCCCUGUCUACUAUCCAGCGAAACCACAGCCAAGGAAACGGGCUUGGCAGAAUCAACGGGGAAAGAAGACCACAAAUUUUAACGUUAUUUUACUUUCUCCGUGAAACGGAGGCGGGGUAACAACCCCCUCCUUUUAGACCCAAGACUCGCUUUAGCGGGUCGAUCCGGGCGGAGAACAUUGUCAGGUGGGGAGAUUUGCUGGGGCGGCACAUCUGUUAAAGAUAAUGCAGGUGUCCUAAGAUGAGCUCAACGAGAAACGAAAUCUCGUGUGGAACAAAAGGGUAAAGGCUCGUUUGAUUCUGAUUUUCAGUACGAAUACGAACCGUGAAAGCGUGGCUUGUGGCAGCCAAGCGUCCAUAGCGACGUUGCUUUUUGAUCCCUUGAUGUCGGCUCUUCCUAUCAUUGUGAGGCAGAAUUCACCAAGUGUUGGAUUGUUCACCCACCAAUAGGGAACGUGAGCUGGGUUUAGACCGUCGUGAGACAGGUUAGUUUUACCAUACUGAUGCCCGCGUCGCAAUAGUAAUUCAACCUAGAACGAGAGGAACCAUUGAUUCGCACAAUUCGUCAUCGCGCUUGGUUGAAAAGCCAGUGGCGCGAAGCUACCCUGCGCUGGAUUAUGACUGAACGCCUCUAAGUCAGAAUCUGGGCUAAAAGCGAGCAUGCGCCCGCCGCCCAAUUGCCGACCCUCAGUAGGAGCUUCGGCUCCCAAAGGCACGUGCCGUUGGCUAAGUCCGUUCGGCGGAAGCGCUGUUCGGACCGCCUUGAAUUAUAAUUACCACUGAGCGGCGGGUAGAAUCCUUUGCAGAUGACUUAAAUACGCGACGGGGUAUUGUAAGUGGCAGAGUGGCCUUGCUGUCACGAUCCACUGAGAUUCAGCCCUUUGUCACUAAGAAUCGACCCUCCCCCUUUC
Molecule: ribosomal RNA, 2350 nt
Filed under: Brassica rapa (field mustard)
Lineage: Eukaryota; Viridiplantae; Streptophyta; Magnoliopsida; Brassicales; Brassicaceae
Description: eukaryotic LSU rRNA
Rfam family: Eukaryotic large subunit ribosomal RNA (bases 528-2337)
Source: RNAcentral